GGGUUGUGAGGUUAAGCGACUAAGCGUACACGGUGGAUGCCCUGGCAGUCAGAGGCGAUGAAGGACGUGCUAAUCUGCGAAAAGCGUCGGUAAGGUGAUAUGAACCGUUAUAACCGGCGAUGUCCGAAUGGGGAAACCCAGUGUGUUUCGACACACUAUCAUUAACUGAAUCCAUAGGUUAAUGAGGCGAACCGGGGGAACUGAAACAUCUAAGUACCCCGAGGAAAAGAAAUCAACCGAGAUUCCCCCAGUAGCGGCGAGCGAACGGGGAGGAGCCCAGAGCCUGAAUCAGUGUGUGUGUUAGUGGAAGCGUCUGGAAAGGCGCGCGAUACAGGGUGACAGCCCCGUACACAAAAAUGCACAUGCUGUGAGCUCGAUGAGUAGGGCGGGACACGUGGUAUCCUGUCUGAAUAUGGGGGGACCAUCCUCCAAGGCUAAAUACUCCUGACUGACCGAUAGUGAACCAGUACCGUGAGGGAAAGGCGAAAAGAACCCCGGCGAGGGGAGUGAAAAAGAACCUGAAACCGUGUACGUACAAGCAGUGGGAGCCCUGAUUUAUCAGGGUGACUGCGUACCUUUUGUAUAAUGGGUCAGCGACUUAUAUUCUGUAGCAAGGUUAACCGAAUAGGGGAGCCGGAGGGAAACCGAGUCUUAACUGGGCGUUAAGUUGCAGGGUAUAGACCCGAAACCCGGUGAUCUAGCCAUGGGCAGGUUGAAGGUUGGGUAACACUAACUGGAGGACCGAACCGACUAA
RNAcentral lists this ribosomal RNA (754 nucleotides) under Escherichia coli. RNAcentral's name for it is "partial 23S ribosomal RNA". It matches the Rfam family "Bacterial large subunit ribosomal RNA", at positions 1 to 786 of the family's 2925-position model. Lineage: Bacteria; Pseudomonadati; Pseudomonadota; Gammaproteobacteria; Enterobacterales; Enterobacteriaceae. The record is from RNAcentral.